Molecule: ribosomal RNA, 484 nt
Filed under: uncultured bacterium
Lineage: Bacteria
Description: partial 16S ribosomal RNA
Rfam family: Bacterial small subunit ribosomal RNA
Source: RNAcentral
AUUGAACGCUGGCGGCAGGCCUAACACAUGCAAGUCGAGCGGAUGAAGUGCGCUUGCUCCUGGAUUCAGCGGCGGACGGGUGAGUAAUGCCUAUGAAUCUGCCUGGUAGUGGGGGAUAACGUCCGGAAACGGGCGCUAAUACCGCAUACGUCCUGAGGGAGAAAGUGGUGGAUCUUCGGACCUCACGCUAUCAGAUGAGCCUAGGUCGGAUUAGCUAGUUGGUGGGGUAAAGGCCUACCAAGGCGACGAUCCGUAACUGGUCUGAGAGGAUGAUCAGUCACACUGGAACUGAGACACGGUCCAGACUCCUACGGGAGGCAGCAGUGGGGAAUAUUGGACAAUGGGCGAAAGCCUGAUCCAGCCAUGCCGCGUGUGUGAAGAAGGUCUUCGGAUUGUAAAGCACUUUAAGUUGGGAGGAAGGGCAGUAAGUUAAUACCUUGCUGUUUUGACGUUACCAACAGAAUAAGCACCGGCUAACUUCGUG